UGGGGAAUUUUGGACAAUGGGCGCAAGCCUGAUCCAGCCAUGCCGCGUGCAGGAUGAAGGCCUUCGGGUUGUAAACUGCUUUUGUACGGAACGAAAAGGUGCCUUCUAAUAAAGGGCGCUCAUGACGGUACCGUAAGAAUAAGCACCGGCUAACUACGUGCCAGCAGCCGCGGUAAUACGUAGGGUGCGAGCGUUAAUCGGAAUUACUGGGCGUAAAGCGUGCGCAGGCGGUUUUGUAAGACAGAGGUGAAAUCCCCGGGCUCAACCUGGGAACUGCCUUUGUGACUGCAACGCUGGAGUGCGGCAGAGGGGGAUGGAAUUCCGCGUGUAGCAGUGAAAUGCGUAGAUAUGCGGAGGAACACCGAUGGCGAAGGCAAUCCCCUGGGCCUGCACUGACGCUCAUGCACGAAAGCGUGGGGAGCAAACA
Molecule: ribosomal RNA, 427 nt
Filed under: uncultured bacterium
Lineage: Bacteria
Description: bacterial SSU rRNA
Rfam family: Bacterial small subunit ribosomal RNA
Source: RNAcentral